This 212-nucleotide ribosomal RNA is filed under the name uncultured Chlamydiales CRG2. RNAcentral describes it as "partial 16S ribosomal RNA". It matches the Rfam family "Bacterial small subunit ribosomal RNA", at positions 66 to 273 of the family's 1533-position model. The record is from RNAcentral. Lineage: Bacteria; Pseudomonadati; Chlamydiota; Chlamydiia; Chlamydiales.
ACGGAAUCCUUCGGGAUUUAGUGGCGGAAGGGUUAGUAAUACAUGGGUAACCUACCUUUAACAUUGGGAUAACGGUUGGAAACGAUCGCUAAUACCGAAUGUGGUGAGUUGAAGACAUCUUUAAUUUAUUAAAGUGGGGGAUCGUAAGACCUCGCGGUUAAAGAGGGGCCCAUGCGAUAUCAGCUAGUUGGUGAGGUAAGAGCUCACCAAGG